This 255-nucleotide ribosomal RNA is filed under the name uncultured bacterium. RNAcentral describes it as "partial 16S ribosomal RNA". It matches the Rfam family "Bacterial small subunit ribosomal RNA", at positions 524 to 777 of the family's 1533-position model. The record is from RNAcentral.
UACGUAGGUGGCAAGCGUUGUCCGGAUUUACUGGGCGUAAAGAGCGCGCAGGCGGUCGUUCAAGUCGCGUGUGAAAGCCCCCGGCUCAACUGGGGAGGGUCACGCGAUACUGAUCGACUCGAAGGCAGGAGAGGGUAGUGGAAUUCCCGGUGUAGUGGUGAAAUGCGUAGAUAUCGGGAGGAACACCAGUGGCGAAGGCGACUACCUGGCCUGUUCUUGACGCUGAGGCGCGAAAGCGAUGGGGAGCGAACGAGG